UACGUGAGGGGCGAACGUUGUUCGGUGUCACUGGGCUUAAAGGGUGCGUAGGUGGUUUCGUAAGUAAGGUGUGAAAGCCCUCGGCUUACCCGGGGAAUUGCGCCUUAUACUGCGAGACUUGAGGAUUUCAGGGGAAUGGGGAACUCCAGGUGUAGCGGUGAAAUGCGCAAAUAUCUGGGGGAAGGCCGGCGGCGAAGGCGCCAUUCUGGGAAAUUCCUGACACUGAGGCACGAAAGCGUGGGGAGCAAACAGG
Molecule: ribosomal RNA, 253 nt
Filed under: uncultured bacterium
Lineage: Bacteria
Description: partial 16S ribosomal RNA
Rfam family: Bacterial small subunit ribosomal RNA
Source: RNAcentral